This 575-nucleotide ribosomal RNA is filed under the name uncultured bacterium. RNAcentral describes it as "bacterial SSU rRNA". It matches the Rfam family "Bacterial small subunit ribosomal RNA", at positions 102 to 663 of the family's 1533-position model. The record is from RNAcentral.
ACGGGUGAGUAACACGUGGGCAACCUGCCCUUGAGACUGGGAUAACUUCGGGAAACCGGAGCUAAUACCGGAUAAUAUAAGGAACCUCCUGGUUCCUUGUUGAAAGAUGGUUUCGGCUAUCACUUAAGGAUGGGCCCGCGGCGCAUUAGCUAGUUGGUGAGGUAACGGCUCACCAAGGCGACGAUGCGUAGCCGACCUGAGAGGGUGAUCGGCCACACUGGGACUGAGACACGGCCCAUACUCCUACGGGAGGCAGCAGUAGGGAAUCUUCCACAAUGGACGAAAGUCUGAUGGAGCAACGCCGCGUGAGUGAUGAAGGCCUUCGGGUCGUAAAGCUCUGUUGUUAGGGAAGAACAAGUGCGAUAGUAACUGCUCGCACCUUGACGGUACCUAACCAGAAAGCCACGGCUAACUACGUGCCAGCAGCCGCGGUAAUACGUAUGUGGCAAGCGUUAUCCGGAAUUAUUGGGCGUAAAGCGCGCGCAGGUGGUUUCUUAAGUCUGAUGUGAAAGCCCACGGCUCAACCGUGGAGGGUCAUUGGAAACUGGGGAACUUGAGCGCAGAAGACGAAAGUG